RNAcentral lists this transfer RNA (76 nucleotides) under Tigriopus japonicus. Its description in RNAcentral is "tRNA-Ser(TCT)". Lineage: Eukaryota; Metazoa; Arthropoda; Copepoda; Harpacticoida; Harpacticidae. The record is from RNAcentral.
UUUUUAACCGUGGGUUAAGAGGUGUAAAGUUUAACUUCUAAUUAAGCUAAAGCAGAAAUGUUGCCUCUUUAGAAGA